This 295-nucleotide unclassified non-coding RNA is filed under the name Hevea brasiliensis (rubber tree). The record is from RNAcentral. Lineage: Eukaryota; Viridiplantae; Streptophyta; Magnoliopsida; Malpighiales; Euphorbiaceae.
UUUAAACGUCCUUAGUGUACUUACUAUCACUUCUAUUCUUAUCUGGUAUAUGAUUUUCAGAUGUCCUCUUGUGUAUGGUUUAGAAAUUAAUUUCCUUGAUAUACUUCUAACAUUUUAAGGUUUAAUUUUUCAAGACACAUGUAUAGUAAUUGAGUAUCAGUGCUAUUGAGGCAUUAUAAAUACCUUCCAUAUGCUGCAAUGUCUGGUGUGAGUGAUGCUGAGACAAUGAAAGAAUACUUGGUUUAUUGUCUAAAAGGAUCUUACCCCUUUCAUAAAAAUUAAAAAAAAAAUGGUG